RNAcentral lists this long non-coding RNA (1161 nucleotides) under Homo sapiens (human). RNAcentral describes it as "long non-coding RNA NONHSAT196421.1". Lineage: Eukaryota; Metazoa; Chordata; Mammalia; Primates; Hominidae. The record is from RNAcentral.
CGGUUCCCGCUCGCGCCUCUCCCUCCACACCUCCCUGCAAGCUGAGGGAGUGGACUCUGGCCUUGGCCAGCCCAGAAAGGGGCUCCCACAGUGCAGCCGUGGGCUGAAGGGCUCCUCAAGUGCCGCCAAAGUGGGAGCCCAGGCAGAGGAGUCGCCGAGAGCGAGCGCGGGCUGUGAGGACUGCCAGCACGCUGUCACCUCUCAAUAACGCCCAUCCCAACGUUUCCUGAGGAAUAAUUUUGGUCGUGUUCCUGCUACUCAGCUUUUCGUGGUUCCUGCUCAUUUUCAGAGUCUAACAUUCCAGCUUUUCCGGAAAUUCGAAGUCUGCAGUGGGGAGAAGUGGUGAGGUGGUCACACACAUUCUGGUCCAUGUCCCUACCAAGUUUCUACUCUUCUUCCCACAAGGCUGCCUCUGACUUGAGGGUUCAAGAGAAGAAGAGGAAAGAGAUACUUUGAUGUAAAAGUUUUCAAAGAAAUGCUUUGGGCAGAAGAGACUCAUGGAAACUGGACACUAUAUCUGGAGCCAGGAAUAAUAGGAUCCGAGAAACAGUAACAAGUAUAAAACAGAGUGGUCUUGAACUCCUGGCCUCAAGUAAUCCUCCCCACUGGGCUUCCCAAAGUGCUGGGACUACAGAGAAUCUUAACCCAAAAGAAGAAUGAGCCAAGAACAUGAACAGACAAUUCAAAGAAAAGGAAAUGACCUUUAAACAUAUGAAACAAUGUCCAACUUCAGGCAAUAAGAGAAAUGCACUUAUUAAGACUACAAGAAAAUGCCUUAUUUUUUCAUCUAUCAGUCUUGCAAAGAUUUGAAAGUUGACUAUUAUAUCAUUUUGACAAAAAGGGAUCUGGUCUUCAACAAGUACAGGAAAGAAUCUCUUCUAGCAGUGGGAAGAAAAAGUGCAAACUUUGGACCCAUUACAUGGUGGAAGCUUCAGAAAUCUUUGUGCUAUGAAUAAGGUGAGCUGUCAUUCCACUAAUAAGAACUCCAAGACUCUUUCAGUAAUCUCAUUUUUGUUUGAGGUACCAAACAACACAAAGGAAUAACAGUCCUCUAGAUACGGUUUGGUAGUGACAGUGAGAGCAAGCCUCCACGUGGGAAGCAGAGCGUUUGUCUGGACUGCUGUGACUUGUGACUCUUCUGUAGUCAUGUGUAACAUGUGG